This is a long non-coding RNA of Rhincodon typus (whale shark), 329 nucleotides long. RefSeq lists it as uncharacterized. The record is from RefSeq and is a predicted model, not a curated record. Lineage: Eukaryota; Metazoa; Chordata; Chondrichthyes; Orectolobiformes; Rhincodontidae. The transcript has 3 exons.
AUUACUUCCAACUUAUCAGGCCCAUAAACAGAUUAAGGAUUCUGCAGAACUCACGGGGAUCUUCACCAGGAGUAGUGUGGACAAUCUUUACAGAAGACAAAAGUUAACUGUGUAAGAAACCUUUUGCAUCAACGUUUCAGAGCUAGAAGCCUGAAUCUACAGCCUGUCUGCAGAAAAAGAAAAUUCAAACAGUUGUAGCUGAUCCAGAAAGACACCCCAGUACCAAUAGAUUGUGAGUGAAGGUUCUGGUUAAGGAGGAGAUCACGGCUAUCGGGAAUGUUUGCCGGAGUGGAGGGGAUGAUUAGAUCACAGAGGUGUGUUAUUCACAG